RNAcentral lists this ribosomal RNA (378 nucleotides) under Clostridioides difficile. RNAcentral's name for it is "bacterial LSU rRNA". It matches the Rfam family "Bacterial large subunit ribosomal RNA", at positions 522 to 900 of the family's 2925-position model. The record is from RNAcentral. Lineage: Bacteria; Bacillati; Bacillota; Clostridia; Peptostreptococcales; Peptostreptococcaceae.
CACCCGGGGAGGGGCGGGUACGAGCACCGGAACGACUGCACUUACAAGAUGGGGAUGGUCAUUCGUGGUGUGACCGCGAGCUUUUGGAAAGACGGGCCAACGAGGUACGUUAAGGAGCAAGGUUAAGCACUUAAGGUGCGGAGCCGUAGCGAAAGCGAGUUUUAACUGAGCGUUCAGUUACUGGACGUAGACCCGAAACCGGGCGACCUACCCAUGAGCAGGAUGAAGCGAAAGUAAAAUUUCGUGGAGGUCCGAACCCACGAGCGUUGAAAAGCUCGGGGAUGACUUGUGGGUAGCGGUGAAAUUCCAAUCGAGCCCGGAGAUAGCUGGUUCUCCCCGAAAUAGCUUUAGGGCUAGCCUCAAGGUGAGAGAUACGGA